RNAcentral lists this ribosomal RNA (500 nucleotides) under uncultured bacterium. RNAcentral's name for it is "bacterial SSU rRNA". It matches the Rfam family "Bacterial small subunit ribosomal RNA", at positions 21 to 507 of the family's 1533-position model. The record is from RNAcentral.
GGCUCAGGAUGAACGCUAGCUACAGGCUUAACACAUGCAAGUCGAGGGGAAACGAUAGAGAAAGCUUGCUUUUUCUAGGCGUCGACCGGCGCACGGGUGAGUAACGCGUAUCCAACCUGCCCAUCACUUGGGGGAUAACCUUGCGAAAGUAAGACUAAUACCCAAUGACGUCUCUAGAAGACAUCUGAAGGAGAUUAAAGAUUUAUCGGUGAUGGAUGGGGAUGCGUCUGAUUAGCUUGUUGGCGGGGUAACGGCCCACCAAGGCGACGAUCAGUAGGGGUUCUGAGAGGAAGGCCCCCCACAUUGGAACUGAGACACGGUCCAAACUCCUACGGGAGGCAGCAGUGAGGAAUAUUGGUCAAUGGACGAGAGUCUGAACCAGCCAAGUAGCGUGCAGGAUGACGGCCCUAUGGGUUGUAAACUGCUUUUAUAAGGGAAUAAAGUGAGUCUCGUGAGACUUUUUGCAUGUACCUUAUGAAUAAGGACCGGCUAAUUCCGUG